Molecule: ribosomal RNA, 253 nt
Filed under: uncultured bacterium
Lineage: Bacteria
Description: partial 16S ribosomal RNA
Rfam family: Bacterial small subunit ribosomal RNA
Source: RNAcentral
GCCGAAGGAUGCAAGCGUUCUCCGGAUUCAUUGGGUUUAAAGGGUGCGUAGGUGGCCUUAUAAGUCAGUGGUGAAAUCUCUGGGCUUAACCCAGAAAUUGCCAUUGAUACUGUAGGGCUUGAGUAUAGAUGCCGUUGGCGGAAUAUGACAUGUAGUGGUGAAAUACAUAGAGAUGUCAUAGAACACCGAUUGCGAAGGCAGCUAACGAAACUAUAACUGACACUGAGGCUCGAAAGUGUGGGGAGCAAACAGG